RNAcentral lists this ribosomal RNA (465 nucleotides) under uncultured bacterium. Its description in RNAcentral is "partial 16S ribosomal RNA". It matches the Rfam family "Bacterial small subunit ribosomal RNA", at positions 28 to 507 of the family's 1533-position model. The record is from RNAcentral.
GACGAACGCUGGCGGCGUGCUUAACACAUGCAAGUCGAACGGAAAGGCCCUGCUUGCAGGGUACUCGAGUGGCGAACGGGUGAGUAACACGUGGGUGAUCUGCCCUGCACUUCGGGAUAAGCUUGGGAAACUGGGUCUAAUACCGGAUAGGAGCCAUCUUUAGUGUGGUGGUUGGAAAGUUUUUUCGGUGUAGGAUGAGCUCGCGGCCUAUCAGCUUGUUGGUGGGGUAAUGGCCUACCAAGGCGGCGACGGGUAGCCGGCCUGAGAGGGUGUACGGCCACAUUGGGACUGAGAUACGGCCCGGACUCCUACGGGAGGCAGCAGUGGGGAAUAUUGCACAAUGGGCGCAAGCCUGAUGCAGCGACGCCGCGUGGGGGAUGAAGGCCUUCGGGUUGUAAACUCCUUUCGCUAGGGACGAAGCUUUUUGUGACGGUACCUAGAUAAGAAGCACCGGCUAACUACGUG